GAGCACAAUAACACUCUUCAACAGAGAAAAUUCUCAGCUACAAAACACUACUUCUCAACACAGCCACCACCAUUACCCAGAUCAUACAGGCUUCCCAUGAGGGCACAGACUACAACAACACAAACUACUGGAACUUCAAAGUGCAGCAAACAUAUGACGCAGACUUGCCCUACCUUCCUAAUGGUGACUGCUUCACAGCUGAAUCAGGACUAUAACUGCUAUUACAAAUGUACGUCACCCCUGA
Coturnix japonica (Japanese quail) is the source of this 244-nucleotide non-coding RNA. The record is from RefSeq and is a predicted model, not a curated record. NCBI's taxonomy places the organism in Eukaryota, Metazoa, Chordata, Aves, Galliformes, Phasianidae.